GGAAGGUGCCCUCCCUCACGGAAGGUGCCCUCCCUCACGGAAGGUGCCCUCCCUCACGGAAGGUGCCCUCCCUCACGGAAGGUGCCCUUCCUCACAGCACUGACCACUCUAGAGGACAGAGAAAACAAAGCCAAGCAGACAUUCACAGAUGAACCUGAAAUCAAAACAAACUCCAAGCUUUCCACUAAACUCAACAGUUCAUUCCACUCUGAUCAAGAGGUACAGGUUACAGUCGGGCUUGGAGGAUAGUCAAGAGAGGAACUCAAGGCAGAAACCUGAAGACAAGGCCUAAAGCAGCAACUAUGGAGGUCACCACCGCUUACUGGCUUGCUCCCUAGCUUCUAAUCCUUGCUUUCUUAAACAGUCCAAAACAUCCUUCCUGGGGAUGACACUAACCAGAAAGCUGGGCCCUCAAUUUACAAUCAAGAUAAUGUGUCAAAGAUAUGCCUACAGGCCAAUCUGAUCAAGGUGAAACUCCCUCAAAUAAUUUGGGCUGUAUCACUGUAUCACUGUAUCAAGUUGACAGAUGACAUUAACUAGGAGAGAAACAUUGGCAAAUGAGAAAGAAAAAGACAGACAGACAGACAGACAGACAGACAGACAAAGAAAAAUAAAGGAAAGAAAAAAAUAAAAGACUGAUUGCGUAUGGAAGGGAAGCCUGAAGAACACCUUUCAGACGCCACCUUUGACUGGGAUGAACAGGAUGGGAACUGAAGGCAUGUCUGCUUUUGAUCCCAGAGAUAACCAAAGGAUUGCCAGAGGAAAUCAAAGUCAAUCUCACCAAGAAACCAAAAACUCAGCAGAGAGCUCUUGAAAAGACUGCAGUGGGUAUGGCCAUGGUUCCAUGCAGCUUCUCUGCAGUAUACAGAAGAAACUACCUCAGAGCAGACAUCAGGCCUCUGGUUCGAACAGUCUUCCCAGUCCUCUCCCAUGAUGCUCUAUGAGUGAUAUAUUUACAUAGUAAUAAAAAAUCUAUUUCUAAGUGCAAUAACCCA
Long non-coding RNA from Mastomys coucha (southern multimammate mouse), 995 nucleotides. RefSeq lists it as uncharacterized. The transcript is spliced from 2 exons. Lineage: Eukaryota; Metazoa; Chordata; Mammalia; Rodentia; Muridae. The record is from RefSeq and is a predicted model, not a curated record.